GACGAACGCUGGCGGCGUGCUUAACACAUGCAAGUCGAACGGAAAGGCUCCAGCUUGCUGGAGUACUCGAGUGGCGAACGGGUGAGUAACACGUGGGUAAUCUGCCCUGCACUCUGGGAUAAGCCUGGGAAACUGGGUCUAAUACUGGAUAUGACCUUUCUCCUUAUGGGGUUUGGUGGAAAGUUUUUCGGUGUAGGAUGAGCCCGCGGCCUAUCAGCUUGUUGGUGGGGUGAUGGCCUACCAAGGCGACGACGGGUAGCCGGCCUGAGAGGGUGAUCGGCCACAUUGGGACUGAGAUACGGCCCAGACUCCUACGGGAGGCAGCAGUGGGGAAUAUUGCACAAUGGGCGGAAGCCUGAUGCAGCGACGCCGCGUGAGGGAUGACGGCCUUCGGGUUGUAAACCUCUUUCAGCAGGGACGAAGCGUAAGUGACGGUACCUGCAGAAGAAGCACGGGCUAACUAUGUG
This 467-nucleotide ribosomal RNA is filed under the name uncultured bacterium. RNAcentral's name for it is "partial 16S ribosomal RNA". It matches the Rfam family "Bacterial small subunit ribosomal RNA", at positions 28 to 507 of the family's 1533-position model. The record is from RNAcentral.